UACUACUGUGCAUGUGGUGAGAAUAUUAGUAGGGUUAAAAACAGGAUAAAAGCAUAAACAUGUGAACUAAGGAUGGAACACUGAUGUAGACAGCGAAGAUUUAAAUCCAGGGAUCGUAUCAGCGCUGACUUCAUAAGACGGAAGUGUGUUCCAUUGUACAACUGUUCUUGGAAAGAAAAUUUGUGGUAAUCAGCUGUACUUGGUGGUUAUUGGUAUGCCAAGUGAUGGUGAUGGCGUGUGUGUCUAAUGUAUGGAGUGAGAUAGUGUAGGGGAUUGAUGUCAACAAGUACGAAAAUUUAGAAAUAAUAUUUUGAAGGUCACGAACAUAUGUGACAAAACAACAAAGUGUGGCCCAAGAUCUGUUAUGGCAGUAAGAAUAGAAAAUACUCAUUACUGGAACACUCUGUGUUCGACAAAAGAACUUCAUCAGUCAAGGGAAUGCCACAGUCUUCGGGGAAGAAAACAUGGCUACAUCUGGAGAGAGCUUAAAGAUCUUCUAUGACUGCAAAGCCCAUAUGGUCCUAUGAUGACUCAACAAUGGAUGACAAGGAAAACACAAGAACACCUUUUUAAGACGAGGUCCACUUUUGAGAACUUUGACUGGAAAUCAUAGUGCUUCAUUUGUGGCGAAAAGUGCAGCCGUCAUUGAGACAAUACAUCAAGAGGUUUUAGUAGAAGUUGGUCCCUAGGGCCAAACAAAUAAAAUUGUGUGUUUUGGGAAACGGCUGAAAAAAAUUAGGUAGGGUAGGUAUUUUUUUCUGGUCUUUGCGAUGGCUUACAUGCUUUUGCAAUGGGAAUAUCCGGAAAAAAACAUCGUACCGAAGUAUGCGCGUCCUAGAAAUUGGACCAUAUUCCGUUUCUUGUUGAAUUAUCAAAUGCGCAUAAUUAAAUUUGUAAUCCGAAACACUCUACCCUAUUUAAUUUUUACUCGACGUUAUCACAUUCCUCAAACAAACUGUAAAUGUACAGUGUGUUUUAAUCUUUUCUCUCGAGAAAAGCGCGCGCAAAUUAUUCCCUACAUGAACAACGUCACGUCAAACGCAUGGAACGCGUGCGUGCAUUAAAUUUCCGUUUAAUGUUCCUUUGUAAAUUUUAGCAGAAUGAUAUAGCGAAUGAUUUGGAAUUUGACAUUUCCUCAAAAUUAAUUGCAAAUCAAACACAAUGUAUAUUUAUCGUUACGGACGUUUACAUAAGUCACCAUUGAAACAGUUAUUGUACCGUAUACUGGUGCAACAGAAAAUCCAGACGAAACUGGAUUAAGUGUUGGGUGUUGUCAAAACGAAUCCCGGAAUAAACCCCCUUCGGAAGAAACACCCUUCCCUAAAAACGAGCAUAGCGGAAGAAACCCCCUUUCACAUUUUGCAUAAACGGAAGAAACACCCUUCCAUAGCGGAACAAACCCCCUUCCAGUUUUCAGACAGGCGGAUUAAACCCCCCUUCAUAACUGUUAUUUAAACUGUUCGAAAAACAUUGACACGUAAUUCGAUUCACAAUUUUCCUGUUUGAAGCAAUAAUAAACAUUUUGUACAUUACAUGCUCACAUUAGUAUCACUACAUUAUAUAUAUAUAUAAACCAUGUUUCAUGUUUUAGUUGUAAACGUAUACCAGGCCACUUUUAUCUACUGAAAAGCAUUUAGAAAAUCAAAAUAUGGAAAAAAAUAGUGGUUGAUGUAUAACAACAAACACAAAUAACACUAUUAAAAAGUCUUAUAAGCGGUACGUUGACCUUAUCUUGUGUCAAUUUUAUAGAUCUAUAUGUGGGCUUUUAUUUGCUAAUUAUAAAUAAAAAAAAAAAAAAAAAAAAGCAGAUUGACAUAAUUAUACACCGAAGUUUGACAGGGAGUUAUGUAGGAGUCACGCUGUUGGGCGGUCGGUCGAUUGGUUGGUCGGAUGAUGGGUUUGUUUGUUUGUCCGAAUCAAAUGUUUUAAGUUUGUUGAGCGACUUCAUUUUUCAAGCUAUUGAAUCGAAACUUGGAAUAUGUAAUCCCCUUUAAAGUGAAGAUGUGCAAGACACUUUCAUGAGCAGUGAUCCACACGUUCUUGAGUUAUUUAGCCUUGAUAGUGAACCUAUUAUGGCAAAGGUAUACCAUUUUCUCCGUUUGUGAAGUGAUCUUUUUCCAUAUUUCUCAAGCGAUAGAAUUGAAACUUGAAAUAUGGCAAUAACAUGAAGUGUAUGAUGUUCAAGACACAAUUUUGUUUGCUGUUUCAAUGUGGUGAGAGGGUAUGUUAAGUCAUGGCUGUAGUUUAAGUACGUAAAAUGCAUCACGUAUA
Long non-coding RNA from Dreissena polymorpha, 2271 nucleotides. RefSeq lists it as uncharacterized. The record is from RefSeq and is a predicted model, not a curated record. The transcript has 3 exons. Lineage: Eukaryota; Metazoa; Mollusca; Bivalvia; Myida; Dreissenidae.